RNAcentral lists this ribosomal RNA (491 nucleotides) under uncultured bacterium. RNAcentral describes it as "partial 16S ribosomal RNA". It matches the Rfam family "Bacterial small subunit ribosomal RNA", at positions 28 to 507 of the family's 1533-position model. The record is from RNAcentral.
GAUGAACGCUGGCGGCGUGCCUAAUACAUGCAAGUCGAACGCUGAAGCUCUAGCUUUCUUGAUCUAAGGAGUGGCGAACGGGUGAGUAAUACAUAAGCAACCUACCCACGAAAGCUUGGAUAAUCUCUGGAAACGGGGACUAAUACCGGGUAGAUAAUCGGAAGGCAUCUUCUGGUUAUUAAAGGUUAAAAAUACUGGUGGAUAUGCUUGUGUCGCAGUAGUUAUAUGGGGAGGUAACGGUCCACCAAUACAAUGAUGCGUAGCCGACCCGAGAGGGUGAGCUGCACGGCCACAUUUGGACUGCGACACGGACCACUCUCGUACGGGAGGCAGGAGUAGGGAACGCUCGGGACGGGGGGCAAACGUGACCGCGCCACGCCGGGUGAGAGAAGAUGGCGUUCGGGGUGUAAAGCUCUGUUGUAAGGGAAGAUCGGUAGAUAGCGAAUCACUAAGUGACGGUACCUUAUCAGAAAGCCACGGCUAACUACGUG